Molecule: ribosomal RNA, 1428 nt
Filed under: Klebsiella sp. A13
Lineage: Bacteria; Pseudomonadati; Pseudomonadota; Gammaproteobacteria; Enterobacterales; Enterobacteriaceae
Description: bacterial SSU rRNA
Rfam family: Bacterial small subunit ribosomal RNA
Source: RNAcentral
GGAGCUACCAUGCAAGUCGAGCGGUAGCACAGAGAGCUUGCUCUCGGGUGACGAGCGGCGGACGGGUGAGUAAUGUCUGGGAAACUGCCUGAUGGAGGGGGAUAACUACUGGAAACGGUAGCUAAUACCGCAUAAUGUCGCAAGACCAAAGUGGGGGACCUUCGGGCCUCAUGCCAUCAGAUGUGCCCAGAUGGGAUUAGCUAGUAGGUGGGGUAACGGCUCACCUAGGCGACGAUCCCUAGCUGGUCUGAGAGGAUGACCAGCCACACUGGAACUGAGACACGGUCCAGACUCCUACGGGAGGCAGCAGUGGGGAAUAUUGCACAAUGGGCGCAAGCCUGAUGCAGCCAUGCCGCGUGUGUGAAGAAGGCCUUCGGGUUGUAAAGCACUUUCAGCGGGGAGGAAGGCGGUGAGGUUAAUAACCUUGUCGAUUGACGUUACCCGCAGAAGAAGCACCGGCUAACUCCGUGCCAGCAGCCGCGGUAAUACGGAGGGUGCAAGCGUUAAUCGGAAUUACUGGGCGUAAAGCGCACGCAGGCGGUCUGUCAAGUCGGAUGUGAAAUCCCCGGGCUCAACCUGGGAACUGCAUUCGAAACUGGCAGGCUAGAGUCUUGUAGAGGGGGGUAGAAUUCCAGGUGUAGCGGUGAAAUGCGUAGAGAUCUGGAGGAAUACCGGUGGCGAAGGCGGCCCCCUGGACAAAGACUGACGCUCAGGUGCGAAAGCGUGGGGAGCAAACAGGAUUAGAUACCCUGGUAGUCCACGCCGUAAACGAUGUCGAUUUGGAGGUUGUGCCCUUGAGGCGUGGCUUCCGGAGCUAACGCGUUAAAUCGACCGCCUGGGGAGUACGGCCGCAAGGUUAAAACUCAAAUGAAUUGACGGGGGCCCGCACAAGCGGUGGAGCAUGUGGUUUAAUUCGAUGCAACGCGAAGAACCUUACCUGGUCUUGACAUCCACAGAACUUUCCAGAGAUGGAUUGGUGCCUUCGGGAACUGUGAGACAGGUGCUGCAUGGCUGUCGUCAGCUCGUGUUGUGAAAUGUUGGGUUAAGUCCCGCAACGAGCGCAACCCUUAUCCUUUGUUGCCAGCGGUCCGGCCGGGAACUCAAAGGAGACUGCCAGUGAUAAACUGGAGGAAGGUGGGGAUGACGUCAAGUCAUCAUGGCCCUUACGACCAGGGCUACACACGUGCUACAAUGGCAUAUACAAAGAGAAGCGACCUCGCGAGAGCAAGCGGACCUCAUAAAGUAUGUCGUAGUCCGGAUUGGAGUCUGCAACUCGACUCCAUGAAGUCGGAAUCGCUAGUAAUCGUAGAUCAGAAUGCUACGGUGAAUACGUUCCCGGGCCUUGUACACACCGCCCGUCACACCAUGGGAGUGGGUUGCAAAAGAAGUAGGUAGCUUAACCUUCGGGAGGGCGCUACCACUUGUCGC